CUAGGCUGACGCUCACAUGACAUGUGUGUAGCGGGGUAGCUCUUGCAGCAAGAGUCGUCUGGGAGCAGGCACACGUGGGUACUCACCCCCAGUUAGGGAAACAGAAGGACUGCUGACUGGCGUUCCUGUGCCCCCGAAGGUGGCUGACAGCUUUGGGUGGAAUGUCACAAAGCAGUCAGACUGGGGGUGAGUCAGAAAUCCUUGGGUCACUUGUGGUUUUCUUCAUGGUUUUGGUGUGACUAUUAACUUGUUUUUACUUCACAAGAAAAACAGGUGUUUGGGUGUCUGUUUGAAAUACUGCCAUCUUGCUCAUGUCCCAGUCCCACGGCUGCCCCAGGCUGACACAAAUAGGUGACUUGAGAACCAGGCACCACCAGCAAACCCUUUAGACAGACAGGGCGUCCCUGGGCACUGACGCUGCCUUAAACCCCAGAUCCUGUGAUGUUCGUGAAGGGGAAGGUGCGUUUGGAGUAACCAGUGGUGCUCACUUGUCGGAUCCCCACAGAUCCCUCUGGGAGUGCCCACUUUGGAAGCGUGCGCUCUGACCUUGGCCUUGAUUUUCUACCUGCCACCUGGAUGAGCUGACAGCUCUCACCUUGAGUUCUGUUGCUUUUUGGAUGGAAAUCAAGGUAGCACAUUUGUCCAAACGCUGCUCUGGGUUUUCUUUCUACCUGGCCAGACAUUGCGUCAUCUCCACAUCUGCUGAUGUCCAUUUUUAUGCGCUCUGCAUCGGGGGUACCAGGAGACUCCCCUACUUCCACCACCUUCCCUGUUCCCAGGCUGCAGUUGCCUUCAGCUUCCCUGGGACCCUCAAGCCUGAAAGAAUGGAUGUGAAGCUUUCCAGCUCAGAUCUUCAGAAAGGAGAACAGUUGGCUCCAAUCAAGCCUGUUCUGUUCACAGACUUGUGAAGGGGAAGGGGCACACCAGUUUGAACCCUCGAUUCUGGGACUGGAGGUGUCUGGGAUCUGCUACAAAAAGAUAAGGGGCCUUAAAAAAACCAACAAGAGUUAAAUGUGGCCCCGAGUGUCCCCCUUCUGCCCCAUCCUCUUGUCCCUGCCUUAUAGCUGAUCUGUGGCCCUUAGAUGUGAGAUUCUGCAAGACUGGGGUUUUCAUCUGCAGCUUGGAGCAGGGGUGGUUGGUCUGCCAAACCAUGACUGUCCAGCGUGUCCCUUUCCUGUACUCUGCCACCAAGCCAGGCCCCAGGCUGUGGGGACCACGAGCAAUCAUGGACAUUCCUGUCAAUGACAAAGAACUUCAAAAAUUUGCAGCUGGCAGGAAGAAUCAGGGCAGCCGUCCUUGAAUUUGCCUGAUGCUAGCAGCUGGAUGACUUCAUUCUUCACUAUUUGGGAGCUCCUGCAUUGCAAGCGGAUUCUUUACUGCUGAGCCACUGGGGAUGCUCAGGGAGAACUGCACCAGCCUCCAGAGGAUGUAGCUGUCGCUGGUAACACAUGAGAUGAAAAGUCCAAAUGGGAGCUGCUGUCAUAUUCCCCAGAGCCCAAAGGCAUUCCUAGAGAAAUGGGGGAAGAAGUGGUCCUCAGAAACUGCCAAUAUUUUAAAAAUCCUAUUCUUUUGGAUUUGUUUUUCCAUCUGGCACAACUCUAGGAACACAGGGACUCCAAUCUGCUUAUUUGGCACUUACCUGCCCAGCCUGACCUUCUCAUCUAAGACCAGACUUGAACACAAAGCCUGGAGGGUUGGUGCCCAGAAAUGGGGCAGAGGAGGGGAGCCUCCAGGGGAGCCCCGAGCCCCUUUCUCCUGUGUCUUACUGGCUUCCAAGAAAACCAAGGUGUGUCUGGUUGAGCUUGGCUGUGUGUUCUCCAUAAACCCUCCCCCUCCCGGGGCUGGGCAGCACAUUCCCUCUCCCCGCACCCCCUCUACCAUGUCCAGUGCCUCCAUCUUCCUCCCCAGUCAGUGUUCCACCAGGAUGAGUGCUCAUUUUGUGCAAGGCAGUGUGUGGCCAGGGGAGAGAUGAGCCAGGUCUGACCUGGCCUCAGAGAGAAAGGGGACCAGUGGGCCCUGC
Long non-coding RNA from Bos taurus (domestic cattle), 2020 nucleotides. The record is from Ensembl. Lineage: Eukaryota; Metazoa; Chordata; Mammalia; Artiodactyla; Bovidae.